UUCGACUAUCUUUAGCCUCGUAGU
This 24-nucleotide non-coding RNA is filed under the name Arabidopsis thaliana (thale cress). The record is from RNAcentral. Lineage: Eukaryota; Viridiplantae; Streptophyta; Magnoliopsida; Brassicales; Brassicaceae.